This 215-nucleotide unclassified non-coding RNA is filed under the name Hevea brasiliensis (rubber tree). The record is from RNAcentral. Lineage: Eukaryota; Viridiplantae; Streptophyta; Magnoliopsida; Malpighiales; Euphorbiaceae.
AUUUAGUCCAGCCUAACUUAACUGUUACAACUACCAUUACCAUCCAGCUAAUUUCCCGCUAUUGUAUAACUUAAAUAUUUCCUACAAUUCUUGACUAGUGUUUCAGAAGAAGCAGCGGAGAAUCGAACCGUAGGCAUCUUUCCAGAAGUAGGGAGAGAGAUAGAGAUAGAUACAGGGACGGAGACAGAGACAGGCAUCACAGGAGGCGAAGUAGG